GAUGAACGCUGGCGGCGUGCCUAAUACAUGCAAGUCGAGCGAACAGAUGAGGAGCUUGCUCCUCUGACGUUAGCGGCGGACGGGUGAGUAACACGUGGAUAACCUACCUAUAAGACUGGGAUAACUUCGGGAAACCGGAGCUAAUACCGGAUAAUAUAUUGAACCGCAUGGUUCAAUAGUGAAAGACGGUUUUGCUGUCACUUAUAGAUGGAUCCGCGCCGCAUUAGCUAGUUGGUAAGGUAACGGCUUACCAAGGCAACGAUGCGUAGCCGACCUGAGAGGGUGAUCGGCCACACUGGAACUGAGACACGGUCCAGACUCCUACGGGAGGCAGCAGUAGGGAAUCUGCCGCAAUGGGCGAAAGCCUGACGGAGCAACGCCGCGUGAGAGAUGAAGGUCUUCGGAUCGUAAAACUCUGUUAUUAGGGAAGAACAAAUGUGUAAUUAACUAUGCACGUCUUGACGGUACCUAAUCAGAAAGCCACGGCUAACUACGUG
This 497-nucleotide ribosomal RNA is filed under the name uncultured bacterium. Its description in RNAcentral is "partial 16S ribosomal RNA". It matches the Rfam family "Bacterial small subunit ribosomal RNA", at positions 28 to 507 of the family's 1533-position model. The record is from RNAcentral.